AUUGAACGCUGGCGGCAGGCCUAACACAUGCAAGUCGAGCGGAUGAAGGGAGCUUGCUCCUGGAUUCAGCGGCGGACGGGUGAGUAAUGCCUAGGAAUCUGCCUGGUAGUGGGGGAUAACGUCCGGAAACGGGCGCUAAUACCGCAUACGUCCUGAGGGAGAAAGUGGGGGAUCUUCGGACCUCACGCUAUCAGAUGAGCCUAGGCCGGAUUAGCUAGUUGGUGGGGUAAAGGCCUACCAAGGCGACGAUCCGUAACUGGUCUGAGAGGAUGAUCAGUCACACUGGAACUGAGACACGGUCCAGACUCCUACGGGAGGCAGCAGUGGGGAAUAUUGGACAAUGGGCGAAAGCCUGAUCCAGCCAUGCCGCGUGUGUGAAGAAGGUCUUCGGAUUGUAAAGCACUUUAAGUUGGGAGGAAGGGCAGUAAGUUAAUACCUUGCUGUUUUGACGUUACCAACAGAAUAAGCAUCGGCUAACUUCGUG
RNAcentral lists this ribosomal RNA (484 nucleotides) under uncultured bacterium. RNAcentral describes it as "partial 16S ribosomal RNA". It matches the Rfam family "Bacterial small subunit ribosomal RNA", at positions 30 to 507 of the family's 1533-position model. The record is from RNAcentral.